GAUAAACGCUGGCGGCGCACAUAAGACAUGCAAGUUGAACGGACUUAAUCGAAAUAUUUCUAUUUUGAAGCGGUUAGUGGCGGACUGGUGAGUAACGCGUAAGGAACCUGCCUAUUAGAGGGGAAUAACAGUGAGAAAUCAUUGCUAAUACCGCAUAUGCCAUAGAUAUCACAUGAUAACAGUGGGAAAGGAGCAAUCCGCUAAUAGAUGGCCUUGCGUCUGAUUAGAUAGUUGGUGGGGUAACGGCCUACCAAGUCGACGAUCAGUAGCCGGACUGAGAGGUUGAACGGCCACAUUGGGACUGAGAUACGGCCCAGACUCCUACGGGAGGCAGCAGUCGGGAAUAUUGCGCAAUGGAGGAAACUCUGACGCAGUGACGCCGCGUAUAGGAAGAAGGUUUUCGGAUUGGAAACUAUUGUCGUUAGGGAAGAGAAGGGACAGUACCUAAGGAGGAAGCUCCGGCUAACUACGUG
Molecule: ribosomal RNA, 473 nt
Filed under: uncultured bacterium
Lineage: Bacteria
Description: partial 16S ribosomal RNA
Rfam family: Bacterial small subunit ribosomal RNA
Source: RNAcentral